UACAGAGGGUGCGAGCGUUAAUCGGAAUUACUGGGCGUAAAGCGCGCGUAGGCGGCUUUGCAAGUCGGGUGUGAAAUCCCCAGGCUUAACCUGGGAACUGCAUUCGAGACUGCAUUGCUAGAGUAUGGGAGAGGGAAGUGGAAUUUCCGGUGUAGCGGUGAAGUGCGUAGAUAUCUGGAGGAACACCGGUGGCGAAGGCGGCAUCCUGGACCGGUAUUGACGCUGAGGCGCGAAAGCCAGGGGAGCAAACGGG
This 253-nucleotide ribosomal RNA is filed under the name uncultured bacterium. RNAcentral describes it as "partial 16S ribosomal RNA". It matches the Rfam family "Bacterial small subunit ribosomal RNA", at positions 524 to 776 of the family's 1533-position model. The record is from RNAcentral.